AGACGGAGGGCGCAAGCGUUGUUCGGAAUUACUGGGCGUAAAGGGCAGGUAGGUGGUCUGUUAAGUCUUCUGUGAAAACCCGGGGCUCAACCCCGCGGAAUGCAGGUGAAACUGGCAGACUUGAGACCGGUAGAGGCUAGCGGAAUUCCUGGUGUAGCGGUGGAAUGCGUAGAUAUCAGGAAGAACACCUGUGGCGAAGGCGGCUAGCUGGGCCGGUUCUGACACUGAACUGCGAAAGCGUGGGGAGCAAACAGGAUUAGAAACCCCAGUAGUCC
This 275-nucleotide ribosomal RNA is filed under the name uncultured bacterium. RNAcentral's name for it is "partial 16S ribosomal RNA". It matches the Rfam family "Bacterial small subunit ribosomal RNA", at positions 523 to 796 of the family's 1533-position model. The record is from RNAcentral.